GACGAACGCUGGCGGCGUGCUUAACACAUGCAAGUCGAACGGAAAGGCCCUGCUUGCAGGGUGCUCGAGUGGCGAACGGGUGAGUAACACGUGGGUGAUCUGCCCCUUACUUUGGGAUAAGCCUGGGAAACUGGGUCUAAUACUGGAUAGGACCAUGCUGUAGGUGGUGUGGUGGAAAGAUUAGUUUCGGUAAGGGAUGAGCUCGCGGCCUAUCAGCUUGUUGGUGGGGUAAUGGCCUACCAAGGCGUCGACGGGUAGCCGGCCUGAGAGGGUGGACGGCCACAUUGGGCCUGAGAUACGGCCCAGACUCCUACGGGAGGCAGCAGUGGGGAAUAUUACACAAUGGGCGCAAGCCUGAUGCAGCGACGCCGCGUGGGGGAUGACGGCCUUCGGGUUGUAAACUCCUUUCAGCCAUGACGAAGCCUUCGGGUGACGGUAGUGGUAGAAGAAGCACCGGCUAACUACGU
RNAcentral lists this ribosomal RNA (467 nucleotides) under uncultured bacterium. Its description in RNAcentral is "partial 16S ribosomal RNA". It matches the Rfam family "Bacterial small subunit ribosomal RNA", at positions 28 to 506 of the family's 1533-position model. The record is from RNAcentral.